UCCCUCAGAAUGGUUGGAAAUCAUUCAUAGAGUGUAAAGGCAUAAGGGAGCUUGACUGCGAGACCUACAAGUCGAGCAGGGUCGAAAGACGGACUUAGUGAUCCGGUGGUUCCGCAUGGAAGGGCCAUCGCUCAACGGAUAAAAGCUACCCCGGGGAUAACAGGCUUAUCUCCCCCAAGAGUUCACAUCGACGGGGAGGUUUGGCACCUCGAUGUCGGCUCAUCGCAUCCUGGGGCUGUAGUCGGUCCCAAGGGUUGGGCUGUUCGCCCAUUAAAGCGGUACGCGAGCUGGGUUCAGAACGUCGUGAGACAGUUCGGUCCCUAUCCGUCGUGGGCGUAGGAAAUUUGAGAGGAGCUGUCCUUAGUACGAGAGGACCGGGAUGGACAUACCUCUGGUGUACCAGUUGUCGUGCCAACGGCAUAGCUGGGUAGCUAUGUGUGGACGGGAUAAGUGCUGAAAGCAUCUAAGCAUGAAGCCCCCCUCAAGAUGAGAUUUCCCAACUUCGGUUAUAAGAUCCCUCAAAGAUGAUGAGGUUAAUAGGUUCGAGGUGGAAGCAUGGUGACAUGUGGAGCUGACGAAUACUAAUCGAUCGAAGACUUAAUCAA
Molecule: ribosomal RNA, 605 nt
Filed under: Staphylococcus aureus
Lineage: Bacteria; Bacillati; Bacillota; Bacilli; Caryophanales; Staphylococcaceae
Description: partial 23S ribosomal RNA
Rfam family: Bacterial large subunit ribosomal RNA
Source: RNAcentral